This 330-nucleotide ribosomal RNA is filed under the name uncultured eukaryote. RNAcentral describes it as "partial 18S ribosomal RNA". It matches the Rfam family "Eukaryotic small subunit ribosomal RNA", at positions 1470 to 1796 of the family's 1831-position model. The record is from RNAcentral.
CCCUUAGAUGUUCUGGGCCGCACGCGCGCUACACUGAUGCAUUCAACGAGUCUAAAACCUGGUCUGAUAGGGCUGGGUAAUCUUUUGAAAGUGCAUCGUGAUUGGGAUAGAUGAUUGCAAUUCUUCAUCUUCAACGAGGAAUGCCUAGUAAACGCAAGUCAUCAGCUUGCAUUGAUUACGUCCCUGCCCUUUGUACACACCGCCCGUCGCUCCUACCGAUUGAAUGAUCCGAUGAAUACCAUGGAUUGAGAGUUCGAACAGGUUCUCCUGUUUCAGCCUCUCGAGAAGUGGAGUAAAUCUUAUCAUUUAGAGGAAGGAGAAGUCGUAACA